This 92-nucleotide ribosomal RNA is filed under the name Frankiales bacterium. Lineage: Bacteria; Bacillati; Actinomycetota; Actinomycetes; Frankiales. The record is from RNAcentral.
CGCCCGGCUCCAUUCCGAACCCGGAAGCUAAGCCUUUCAGCGCCGAUGGUACUGCACGGGAGACUGUGUGGGAGAGUAGGACGUCGCCGGAC